AUUGAACGCUGGCGGCAGGCUUAACACAUGCAAGUCGAGCGGGGAAGGGCAGCUUGCUACCUGACCUAGCGGCGGACGGGUGAGUAAUGCUUAGGAAUCUGCCUAUUAGUGGGGGACAACAUUCCGAAAGGAAUGCUAAUGCCGCAUACGCCCUACGGGGGAAAGCAGGGGAUCUUCGGACCUUGCGCUAAUAGAUGAGCCUAAGUCAGAUUAGCUAGUUGGUGGGGUAAAGGCCUACCAAGGCGACGAUCUGUAGCGGGUCUGAGAGGAUGAUCCGCCACACUGGGACUGAGACACGGCCCAGCCUCCUACGGGAGGCAGCAGUGGGGAAUAUUGGACAAUGGGCGAAAGCCUGAUCCAGCCAUGCCGCGUGUGUGAAGAAGGCCUUUUGGUUGUAAAGCACUUUAAGCGAGGAGGAGGCUACUUGGAUUAAUACUCUAGGAUAGUGGACGUUACUCGCAGAAUAAGCACCGGCUAACUCUGUGCCAGCCGCCGCCGUAA
Molecule: ribosomal RNA, 501 nt
Filed under: uncultured bacterium
Lineage: Bacteria
Description: partial 16S ribosomal RNA
Rfam family: Bacterial small subunit ribosomal RNA
Source: RNAcentral